GUUGAAGGCUAUCCUGAAAGUGUGUUGCUGGAGUGAUAUAUCUUGCAGGGAGUGUUAAUCAGCAUUGCAUGGACAUUGAUUCCUGCUUUAAUGGACUUUUGUUGAUGUGAUCAUGUGGAAGGGUUUCUGGUGAGAUGGAUGGUGUGAAAAAGGUUUGAUUGGCAAUUUAAUGCGAGUUUAAGGUAAACACAUUCAUCAUAACGAGGAGGUGAUUUGUUUGCAAGUUAUUCAUUGCCUUGUCAUCUUUGUACCCGAUUGUUAUUAUCUAUAUUUCUCUCUCUAUAUACGGAUAGAUAUGAUAAAAAAAAUUGUUUGCAUAUAGAAAUAUGAGUUAUAACAUUAUUUAUUUCUUCCUUACAAUUAUCUUGAUAAACCUUGUAGCUCACAUGGGCUAUUUUCUUGGGCCACCAAUGAAAUCUAGCCUGUGUCUUUUCUACCUGAAGAGAAUGAUAUUAAUGCCAUACCUGGUUUUGACCCAGCUCAGCUGCUCAGGUACACAAUGUAGAAAAUCUUAUUACCCAUUACUUGAGAGAAAUGCUAUACAUGAAGCAAUGUUUGUUAAAUUUUUUGGUUUAUCCCUAUAUGUAGCCAUUUCAGAAUACAAGUUCCAACCUUUGGCAUUCUUUUAGAUCUUCAUGCCUAUAUCUGUGACAUCCAAUUUCAUGUCUUAGUAGCAGGAUCAUAUUGAUCUUAUAUGUAUAUUUCUGUAUGCACAUAUCUCAAGAUUCUCAUCAUAGUACAAGCAUGUUUGCAGAGAGUUGAAAUGCACAUGGUAGAUUGCAGGAGAAAUUGAGGUAUGCUUUAGAUUUUUCCUUUAUAUUUGCUCCUUAAUUGCAAUUUACUCGAGGGGGUGCUCCUGGACCAGUGAAUAUCGCUUAUUCUGGUGUUUAUCAGUGGUGGUAUACAAUCGGUUUACGCACUAAUGAAGAUCUUUAUACUGGAGCUCUUUUUCUAUUAUUUCUUUCUGCUAUAUCUUUAAUAGCGGGUUGGUUACACCUACAACCGAAAUGGAAACCGAGCGUUUCGUGGUUCAAAAAUGCCGAAUCUCGUCUCAAUCAUCAUUUGUCAGGACUCUUCGGAGUAAGUUCAUUGGCUUGGACCGGACAUUUAAUCCAUUUCGCUACUGCCAUCUCAUUGAGUUUUAUUUGAGCCCCUGCUAUUUUGUUAGUUUGUUUUGUGCUGUGUUUGAGCAUGGUUGCUCUCUUCAUGAUCUUAUUCUUUUUUGGUUGACAUGGAUAAAUAAAUUUGCCAUCAAAAUACUAACAUCCAUUUAUGUAUUAAUGUAACUCUGCCACUGUUUAGAUUUUUGGGUAACUUAUGUGCACGACUUCCCAUGUAUGUGUCAAAAUGCAAAGUUAGUGUCCAUGUAGACAGGUUAUAGUUGGUUUGUGUUUAUUUGAGAUAUUUACAAGAGUCUUCUAUUGGACUGCUGGCUUCAUGUAGCUGUUAAUCUACAGCCUUGUGGUGAGGAUCUUUAUGCAUGUCAAGUCUGGAUGCAGCUGCAGGCUAUCGAUCUUGUAAUGUUUCUUCAAACACGUUGGGAGAGUGAUUGAGGGAAAAAAAAGAGUGGCAGAUAGGCAGAGAGGGUGUUCAUUCUCCACUAGCCAGACUGUGUUCCAGUUUAGCCUGCAGUGCACAAAGCAUAGACCAUAUUAUGGACUGAAUCAUUCCAUUACUCGAGUGAAAUCUAUAUGUUGCAAAUUGUGCAGGUUGAAGAGGUUUGGAGGCCAAACUUGAGUUCCAAACUCAACUUCAGAGAGACCAGGAUCCUGUUUCUGGCCAAAGCCAAAUAUGAUGAAGUCAAUAUUGUGGGCUGAAGAAUGGUUAAGGUAGGUGACAUUGGUCGAGUUUGGCAUAUAGCACUCAUCAAGCUAGCCACCCCACUUUUUCAAAUCAGUUAUGAAAGUCCUAGUCGUCUAUGAACAUCUAUCUUCCCAUAUGAUUGACAAUGAUUUUCUCAUGUUUCCAUUUGAUUAAUUUUAAAACUAUUUUUCAUUUUC
This is a long non-coding RNA of Vitis riparia (riverbank grape), 2000 nucleotides long. RefSeq lists it as uncharacterized. NCBI's taxonomy places the organism in Eukaryota, Viridiplantae, Streptophyta, Magnoliopsida, Vitales, Vitaceae. The record is from RefSeq and is a predicted model, not a curated record. The transcript has 4 exons.